AACGAACGCUGGCGGCAUGCCUAACACAUGCAAGUCGAACGAGACCUUCGGGUCUAGUGGCGCACGGGUGCGUAACGCGUGGGAACCUGCCCUUAGGUUCGGAAUAACUCCCCGAAAGGGGUGCUAAUACCGGAUAAUGUCUUCGGACCAAAGAUUUAUCGCCUUUGGAUGGGCCCGCGUUGGAUUAGCUAGUUGGUAGGGUAAAAGCCUACCAAGGCGAAGAUCCAUAGCUGGUCUGAGAGGAUGAUCAGCCACACUGGGACUGAGACACGGCCCAGACUCCUACGGGAGGCAGCAGUGGGGAAUAUUGGACAAUGGGCGAAAGCCUGAGCCAGCAAUGCCGCGUGAGUGAUGAAGGCCUUAGGGUUGUAAAGCUCUUUUAACCGGGAUGAUAAUGACAGUACCGGGAGAAUAAGCGCCGGCUAACUCCGUG
Molecule: ribosomal RNA, 433 nt
Filed under: uncultured bacterium
Lineage: Bacteria
Description: partial 16S ribosomal RNA
Rfam family: Bacterial small subunit ribosomal RNA
Source: RNAcentral